UCCAAGUCAGAAUUUAGAUGUAGAGUAGCUCAGUCAGAACUGCUGCUCAGAGUACAAGGGGCCUUGCAAGUCAAUGGCAGGACUUUGGAUUAUACCUGGAAAGGUGAAAACAAGAGGAGUUGUCUUUUGAGCAGAGCACAGAGAUGAUCCAAUUUAAGAACUAACCAGGCAGCUAUAGAUUUUCUAUGGAGAUGAGAUGGUGGGCAUCAUGGCCCAUGCCCACUGCUGCUGGGCAAUGUGAGUGGAACACGAGAGCCAUGUGGCCAGGUCUCUAUCAGCUGAGAGCUUUUGAUGUGUUUGGGAGAUGAGACAAGGUAGGGUGGAGGAGUGCAUAGGAGCCAGGACUUUCAAUACAGAAGGGUCCAGAUUGAGUCUUCCUGCUGCCACCCCCUAGCCUAGAAAGUUACUUAAAGUCUCUGUUGCCUCAUCGUUAAGUGGUAAUAAGUGGUAUUAGCAAUGUCUGCCUGAUAGGUUUCUGUGGGGGCUGACUCAGCCCAGAGUGCCUGGCACAGAGUGGGCCUGAAAGAGAUAGCAGCUGGUGUUAUUAUUCAGUAAUAAUGUGAGGUAACACCGUGCUCCUCACUGGGGUGUGGGGGUGGCAGUGGCGGUGGUGUUGGGGACAGAAAUCUUUGAGCAGAAGGUAGAUGAGAAGAGGGAGAAGGCAUGGAGGAUGGGAGCUGGCCGGAAUAAGCACAGUGUGUUCUCACAAAGGAACAUGAGGGUCUGGCUGGGAGGAGAAAACGGCCCCCACUGGAGUCUGUGCAGCCUCUUUGGCUCUAGAUACAAUUUCAGCAAGAAGAUGCUGGACAGUUUCUAUGAUUAGAAGAGGCACUUAAGAAGAGGAAAGGGUUUCUCCAGAGAGGUUCCUGGUCAUCUGAGGGUUUGGAGGGUCCCAGUAGGAUUUAUAGGGAGGAAAUUGUGAUGGGUAGAAAGUCCUGGGCUCACUCUUUGAUUUUCCUACCCCAGGGUCAAUCACUGUUGAAAGGAGAGAUCUUAGCUGUAGACCUUUGGGAGAGAGAGAUUGAUUCUGGGGUCAGGAUUGUAGCUUAGUGGUCUACUACUUGCCUAGCAUGUGUAAGGCCCUCGGUUCAAUCUCCAGCACUGCAAAUUAAUUAAUUAAUUAAUUAAUUAGAUGGUUUCUUUUCUGUCCUCUGUGUGGAUUUCAUUCUCUCAGGCUUUCUGGCAGCUCUCAAGUUGUCGUCAACCCAGCUUCCCAACCAGAAAGAAAAUAGAGCUUCUCUCUCUUGGAUCCAGCAUGAAAGUUCCCAGAAAAAGAUUUUGCAUUGGCCCAGCCUGAGGGGUGCCCUAUGUCCUAGGGGUCCACUAGGCCCAUCAUAGUGGUCCUGGAAACAGGAUGACCCAUCAUGAGGUGAGUAGGCUUCCUCUACUACGAUGUGCUGCCUCAUCACAGGCCAGAAGCAAUGGGGCCAACUGACCAUGAAGUGAAACCUACAAAAUGUAACAGAAUAUGAAUAACACAAAGUGCAACAGGAAGGAAACAAAAAGAAGAAGGAGACCAUGGAUGAGUCCAGUCGACAGAGCUCUGCAGUAGUUUGAGCAAAUUAUUUAAUUCAUCUGAUUUCUUCCUGGAAAAACUGGGAGACUUUUAGAAACUUUUACACAACUCGCAGUAUUCUUUUUGUCUGUGAUAUGUACUAACUACAUAUAAUUAUUGGUUUUGAAACUACAGACCAAUCCAUGGAAAGAGCAGCUCUCAGGACUGCUUUGCUCGUCUGGACAAUGGAGAUGGCACCUGCUCAUUAAGCCAUUGGGAGAUUCAAUAAAAUAACUAAGUUAAAUCUCACAAUUCUUGGCUCCAGUAACACAUCCAACACAUUGCCUAGCAAUGAUGUGCAAAUGUAUCAGUGAUCGCUGGACGCAGUUCUCUCCCACGCAGCUUCAUGUGGGAUUUUCCUCCAUUUUAACCAGCAGAAUGCUCUUAAUUACCAGAACAGCUUCUUGUACUGGGGAAACAAAAAUACAAGAGCAACUGGUACACAGAGUGGUCACAUCUAGGCAGAGUAGGAGAGACGAAUAACGCCAGGGGAAAAUGCUCUUUUUUUACCUUGUGCAAAGCCCUUAUUUAUACCUUGCUCACUUUCAAAAAUGAUUAAUGAUGCUGUAGUAGGAUUUAAAGAGUGAAAAUCUUGCUUCAGAUUCCUACCUCACCUUGUAGGUAAAUAAUUU
This 2187-nucleotide long non-coding RNA is filed under the name Heterocephalus glaber (naked mole-rat). RNAcentral describes it as "lncRNA (ENSHGLG00000041549.1)". Lineage: Eukaryota; Metazoa; Chordata; Mammalia; Rodentia; Bathyergidae. The record is from RNAcentral.